Molecule: long non-coding RNA, 268 nt
Organism: Aricia agestis (brown argus)
Lineage: Eukaryota; Metazoa; Arthropoda; Insecta; Lepidoptera; Lycaenidae
Exons: 3
Source: RefSeq, a predicted model, not a curated record
AUCAGUACAUAAAUUUAAGGUACUUUACUCCCGACAGAAUCAGAAUCAAAUCAGCUCGAUCGCAAAGCUUUUGCUACUUCCGACAUAAUAUGUUCUAACGCAAAAUCAUGCUGCGGCUCAAUGUGGAACUAAUUCGAUCUCAACGGCUUUUCCCACCCCUGCUACUACUAUACUAGCUAUACUAGCGCACUGUGGUGCUGCGGCUCAAUUUGGAACUAAUUCUACUCGUAAAUCAAAAUCAUAUCAGUUUCGGUGGUAAGGCUACAGG